UAAGGAACAUUAUUCUCAUACAAAAAAUUAAGAUAAUUCUAAAUACACAUUCAUAAAAAAAAAUGGAAUUUAUUACAAAGGAUACUCAUAAGAUAUACUUGAAUUGUCCUGGACCUCACUUCUGUGAUGUGUAUAUGUUAAUGGAAUCCUUCUCUGAAUACGGGACCAACAUAUAAGUAGUAGAACCCCAAUGUCCAAUGAUCUUCAAUUUAUACCGAAUAUUGACUGUCAAAAAAAAAUGCUAACAUUCCAAUUUUCAAUAACAGUUAACAGCAAAUACAUUAUCACAAUAACAGAUAACAAAAAAACUAAAAGCCCAAUAACAUCUAACAAAGAAUAAGACAAUAACAGCUAACAGCAAAUAUAUUUUCAAAAUAACAGAUAACAAAGAAUUAAAUUGCCCCAUAACAGCAUAACAGUUAAACCCCUUGCCCCCCCCCCUCUUA
RNAcentral lists this long non-coding RNA (446 nucleotides) under Mytilus galloprovincialis (Mediterranean mussel). Lineage: Eukaryota; Metazoa; Mollusca; Bivalvia; Mytilida; Mytilidae. The record is from RNAcentral.